UUCGUUAAUUGGUUUUGAGAUGCUUGCAUCGAAGAUGAUUUUAACUAUAAAGUGAGUGGCGAACGGGUGAGUAACACGUGGGUAACCUGCCCAGAAGGGGGGGAUAACACCUGGAAACAGAUGCUAAUACCGCAUAACAAAAUUAACCGCAUGGUUGAUUUUUAAAAGAUGGCUUCGGCUAUCACUUCUGGAUGGACCCGCGGCGUAUUAGCUAGUUGGUGAGAUAAAGGCUCACCAAGGCAGUGAUACGUAGCCGACCUGAGAGGGUAAUCGGCCACAUUGGGACUGAGACACGGCCCAGACUCCUACGGGAGGCAGCAGUAGGGAAUCUUCCACAAUGGACGCAAGUCUGAUGGAGCAACGCCGCGUGAGUGAUGAAGGCUUUCGGGUCGUAAAACUCUGUUGUUGGAGAAGAACGUGUGUGAGAGUAACUGCUCAUGCAGUGACGGUAUCCAACCAGAAAGCCACGGCUAACUACGUGCCAGCAGCCGCGGUAAUACGUAGGUGGCAAGCGUUAUCCGGAUUUAUUGGGCGUAAAGCGAGCGCAGGCGGUCUUUUAAGUCUAAUGUGAAAGCCUUCGGCUUAACCGAAGAAGUGCAUUGGAAACUGGGAGACUUGAGUGCAGAAGAGGAGAGUGGAACUCCAUGUGUAGCGGUGAAAUGCGUAGAUAUAUGGAAGAACACCAGUGGCGAAGGCGGCUCUCUGGUCUGCAACUGACGCUGAGGCUCGAAAGCAUGGGUAGCGAACAGGAUUAGAUACCCUGGUAGUCCAUGCCGUAAACGAUGAAUGCUAAGUGUUGGAGGGUUUCCGCCCUUCAGUGCUGCAGCUAACGCAUUAAGCAUUCCGCCU
This 849-nucleotide ribosomal RNA is filed under the name Pediococcus ethanolidurans. Its description in RNAcentral is "bacterial SSU rRNA". It matches the Rfam family "Bacterial small subunit ribosomal RNA", at positions 36 to 874 of the family's 1533-position model. The record is from RNAcentral. Lineage: Bacteria; Bacillati; Bacillota; Bacilli; Lactobacillales; Lactobacillaceae.